RNAcentral lists this ribosomal RNA (1410 nucleotides) under Klebsiella quasivariicola. RNAcentral describes it as "bacterial SSU rRNA". It matches the Rfam family "Bacterial small subunit ribosomal RNA". The record is from RNAcentral. Lineage: Bacteria; Pseudomonadati; Pseudomonadota; Gammaproteobacteria; Enterobacterales; Enterobacteriaceae.
CUACACAUGCAGUCGAGCGGUAGCACAGAGAGCUUGCUCUCGGGUGACGAGCGGCGGACGGGUGAGUAAUGUCUGGGAAACUGCCUGAUGGAGGGGGAUAACUACUGGAAACGGUAGCUAAUACCGCAUAACGUCGCAAGACCAAAGUGGGGGACCUUCGGGCCUCAUGCCAUCAGAUGUGCCCAGAUGGGAUUAGCUAGUAGGUGGGGUAACGGCUCACCUAGGCGACGAUCCCUAGCUGGUCUGAGAGGAUGACCAGCCACACUGGAACUGAGACACGGUCCAGACUCCUACGGGAGGCAGCAGUGGGGAAUAUUGCACAAUGGGCGCAAGCCUGAUGCAGCCAUGCCGCGUGUGUGAAGAAGGCCUUCGGGUUGUAAAGCACUUUCAGCGGGGAGGAAGGCGGUGAGGUUAAUAACCUCAUCGAUUGACGUUACCCGCAGAAGAAGCACCGGCUAACUCCGUGCCAGCAGCCGCGGUAAUACGGAGGGUGCAAGCGUUAAUCGGAAUUACUGGGCGUAAAGCGCACGCAGGCGGUCUGUCAAGUCGGAUGUGAAAUCCCCGGGCUCAACCUGGGAACUGCAUUCGAAACUGGCAGGCUAGAGUCUUGUAGAGGGGGGUAGAAUUCCAGGUGUAGCGGUGAAAUGCGUAGAGAUCUGGAGGAAUACCGGUGGCGAAGGCGGCCCCCUGGACAAAGACUGACGCUCAGGUGCGAAAGCGUGGGGAGCAAACAGGAUUAGAUACCCUGGUAGUCCACGCCGUAAACGAUGUCGAUUUGGAGGUUGUGCCCUUGAGGCGUGGCUUCCGGAGCUAACGCGUUAAAUCGACCGCCUGGGGAGUACGGCCGCAAGGUUAAAACUCAAAUGAAUUGACGGGGGCCCGCACAAGCGGUGGAGCAUGUGGUUUAAUUCGAUGCAACGCGAAGAACCUUACCUGGUCUUGACAUCCACAGAACUUUCCAGAGAUGGAUUGGUGCCUUCGGGAACUGUGAGACAGGUGCUGCAUGGCUGUCGUCAGCUCGUGUUGUGAAAUGUUGGGUUAAGUCCCGCAACGAGCGCAACCCUUAUCCUUUGUUGCCAGCGGUCAGGCCGGGAACUCAAAGGAGACUGCCAGUGAUAAACUGGAGGAAGGUGGGGAUGACGUCAAGUCAUCAUGGCCCUUACGACCAGGGCUACACACGUGCUACAAUGGCAUAUACAAAGAGAAGCGACCUCGCGAGAGCAAGCGGACCUCAUAAAGUAUGUCGUAGUCCGGAUUGGAGUCUGCAACUCGACUCCAUGAAGUCGGAAUCGCUAGUAAUCGUAGAUCAGAAUGCUACGGUGAAUACGUUCCCGGGCCUUGUACACACCGCCCGUCACACCAUGGGAGUGGGUUGCAAAAGAAGUAGGUAGCUUAACCUCGGAGGCGCUA